GACGAACGCUGGCGGCGUGCUUAACACAUGCAAGUCGAACGGAAAGGCCCUGCUUUUGUGGGGUGCUCGAGUGGCGAACGGGUGAGUAACACGUGAGUAACCUGCCCUUGACUUUGGGAUAACUUCAGGAAACUGGGGCUAAUACCGGAUAGGAGCUCCUGCUGCAUGGUGGGGGUUGGAAAGUUUCGGCGGUUGGGGAUGGACUGGCGGCUUAUCAGCUUGUUGGUGGGGUAGUGGCUUACCAAGGCUUUGACGGGUAGCCGGCCUGAGAGGGUGACCGGCCACAUUGGGACUGAGAUACGGCCCAGACUCCUACGGGAGGCAGCAGUGGGGAGUAUUGCACAAUGGGCGGAAGCCUGAGGCAGCAACGCCGCGUGCGGGAUGACGGCCUUCGGGUUGUAAACCGCUUUCGCCUGUGACGAAGCGUGAGUGACGGUAAUGGGUAAAGAAGCACCGGCUAACUACGUG
RNAcentral lists this ribosomal RNA (468 nucleotides) under uncultured bacterium. Its description in RNAcentral is "partial 16S ribosomal RNA". It matches the Rfam family "Bacterial small subunit ribosomal RNA", at positions 28 to 507 of the family's 1533-position model. The record is from RNAcentral.